GUUUGAUCCUGGCUCAGAACAAACGCUGGCGGCGUGUCUUAAGCAUGCAAGUUGAGCGCAAGGAGGAGAGAUCCUCCCUAGAGCGGCGGACUGGUGAGUAACGCGUGGGUAUCUAUCGUAGGCAUGGGGAUAGUCACUAGAAAUAGUGGGUAAUACCGAAUACGAGGGGAGUACAAAGGGUGCUAUGGCACUGGCCUUAGGUGAGCUCGCGUCCCAUUAGCUAGUUGGUGAGGUAAAGGCCCACCAAGGCGAUGAUGGGUAGCCGGCCUGAGAGGGUGUACGGCCACACUGGGACUGAGAUACGGCCCAGACUCCUACGGGAGGCAGCAGCUAAGAAUAUUCCGCAAUGGACGAAAGUCUGACGGAGCGACGCCGCGUGGAUGAAGAAGGCCGAAAGGUUGUAAAGUUCUUUUGCUAGGGGAGAAAAGUGAGGGAGGGAAUGCCCUCAUGAUGACAAGGACUAGCGAAUAAGCCCCGGCCAACUACGUGCCAGCAGCCGCGGUAACACGUAGGGGGCGAGCGUUGUUCGGAAUUACUGGGCGUAAAGGGCAUGUAGGCGGCUUGGUAAGCCUGGCGUGAAAGACUGCAGCUUAACUGUAGGGAUGCGUUGGGAACUGCUUAGCUUGAGUUACGGAGAGGGAGCUGGAAUUCCUGGUGUAGGGGUGAAAUCUGUAGAUAUCAGGAAGAACACCGAUGGCGAAGGCAGGCUUCUGGUCGAUAACUGACGCUGAGGUGCGAAAGUGUGGGGAUCAAACAGGAUUAGAUACCCUGGUAGUCCACACUGUAAACGAUGUGCACGAGGUGCUGGGGCGGUAGUUUCAGUGCCGGAGCGAACGCGGUAAGUGCACCGCCUGGGGAGUAUGCUCGCAAGGGUGAAACUCAAAGGAAUUGACGGGUCCCCGCACAAGCAGCGGAGCGUGUGGUUUAAUUCGAUGCUACACGAAGAACCUUACCUGGGUUUGACAUAAGGUAGUAGGGAAGCGAAAGCGGACCGACCCUUCGGGAGCCUCUACAGGUGUUGCAUGGCUGUCGUCAGCUCGUGUCGUGAGAUGUUCGGUUAAGUCCGCUAACGAGCGCAACCCUCGCUGUGUGUUACAAG
This 1099-nucleotide ribosomal RNA is filed under the name uncultured bacterium. RNAcentral describes it as "bacterial SSU rRNA". It matches the Rfam family "Bacterial small subunit ribosomal RNA", at positions 11 to 1121 of the family's 1533-position model. The record is from RNAcentral.